CAGAAUAUAGUUUAAUAAAAAAUUUUAAUUUUGGAGAUUAAGGAUGUGAGAUAUAAGUUGUUCUGA
This 66-nucleotide transfer RNA is filed under the name Asiopsocus sonorensis. RNAcentral describes it as "tRNA-Pro". Lineage: Eukaryota; Metazoa; Arthropoda; Insecta; Psocodea; Asiopsocidae. The record is from RNAcentral.